Long non-coding RNA from Acanthopagrus latus (yellowfin seabream), 880 nucleotides. RefSeq lists it as uncharacterized. The record is from RefSeq and is a predicted model, not a curated record. The transcript has 3 exons. Lineage: Eukaryota; Metazoa; Chordata; Actinopteri; Spariformes; Sparidae.
UUUAAAAUUUGACAGCAAAAUGUCCAUCAACAUGUAUAUAUUUUGAUUAUACAUUUUAUUUGCGUUGGUAUUAGUUGUAUAAUAGCAAGGGACUCGUCGCAAGCGCCUCAGUCCAUCACUGUCGUUCUCAAAUGACGUUAAAGGACACCCUCUCAGGCAGCGCAUGACUGGUUUUAUGGACGUGAAGCAAUGUGUCGUGAAACAACGUGUCAUGAAGAAACAUGUCGUGAAGCAACGAGUCGCAAAGCGAGGAGACCAGAAGCAACGGGCUGUGAAGCAAAGCGUUAUGAAGCAACUAAACGAGAGCAACACUCAUCAGAUGGAUGUUUAACUUUCACACUGAAACAAGUUCUACCUGAAGUUCUCAGGCACUGGUGGAAACCUCCAACCAAAACCACAAUGACUGCAUGUUGUUGCCGCUUCAAACAUCUUCAAACUGGCCGUUGCUCUGAUGUCACCGGGCUGAGUCAGCCAUAACACCACCAUGACCACAACAAACACUAACAGCAUGAUACUAGCACAGCACUGACACACAAAGAGCCCAACCAAUAGCACCCAAACACUCUGACACCACCGACACACUGACAUUACUCACACCUGUGUCAUGAUUCUGUUUCUUCUGUGUGUUGAUUUUGAUAUUAUGCCCUUGUGUGUCUCUUUUUCAGUUGUUUUGUGUUUCUCCCUCUCUGUUAAUUUCCCAUCAUUACUUCACCUGUCCUUCUCCCUCCUCACUCACCUCACCUGUGCCUGAUCCCCUUUUUAGUGUAUCUAUAUAUUUACUCUUUGUUCUCACUGCACUCGUUGUCUGUCUCCUCGUGAUGUUCUGUAGUGUUUCCUAUCUCCUCCUGUGUCUCCCUGAUUGGUAUGUAUUGGAUUUUGA